Molecule: ribosomal RNA, 1274 nt
Filed under: metagenome
Description: bacterial LSU rRNA
Rfam family: Bacterial large subunit ribosomal RNA
Source: RNAcentral
CGCUGAUAUCGCCCCCGAGGCGAUCGGGCGAACUGUGGUUAAGGAACUCGGCAAAUUACCCCCGUAACUUCGGGAGAAGGGGGGCCACAGACCGUGAAACCCCAUGCGGGUGGCAGCGGUAGGUGGCCGCAGAGACCAGGGGGAAGCGACUGUUUACUAAAAACACAGGUCCGUGCGAAGUCGUAGGACGAUGUAUACGGACUGACGCCUGCCCGGUGCUGGAACGUUAAGGGGACCGGUUAGUCCGCAAGGGCGAAGCUGAGAACUUAAGCGCCAGUAAACGGCGGUGGUAACUAUAACCAUCCUAAGGUAGCGAAAUUCCUUGUCGGGUAAGUUCCGACCUGCACGAAUGGCGUAACGACUUCCCUACUGUCUCAACCACAGGCCCGGCGAAAUUGCACUACGAGUAAAGAUGCUCGUUACGCGCGGAAGGACGGAAAGUCCCCGGGACCUUCACUAUAGCUUGACAUUGGUACUCGAAUUGAAUUGUGUAGGAUAGGUGGGAGACUAUGAAGCUCGGACGCCAGUCCGGGUGGAGUCAACGUUGAAAUACCACUCUGUUGAAUUUGGGUAUCUAACUUCGGACCGUGAUCCGGUUCAGGGACAGUGUCUGGUGGGUAGUUUAACUGGGGCGGUUGCCUCCUAAAAUGUAACGGAGGCGCCCAAAGGUUCCCUCAGCCUGGUUGGCAAUCAGGUGUUGAGUGCAAGUGCACAAGGGAGCUUGACUGUGAGACUGACAGGUCGAGCAGGGACGAAAGUCGGGACUAGUGAUCCGGCACCGGCGAGUGGAAGCGGUGUCGCUCAACGGAUAAAAGGUACCCCGGGGAUAACAGGCUGAUCUUCCCCAAGAGUCCAUAUCGACGGGAUGGUUUGGCACCUCGAUGUCGGCUCGUCGCAUCCUGGGGCUGGAGUAGGUCCCAAGGGUUGGGCUGUUCGCCCAUUAAAGCGGCACGCGAGCUGGGUUUAGAACGUCGUGAGACAGUUCGGUCCCUAUCCUCCGCGCGCGCAGGAGACUUGAGAAGAGCUGUCCCUAGUACGAGAGGACCGGGACGGACGAACCUCUGGUGUGCCAGUUGUCAUGCCAAUGGCACGGCUGGUUAGCUACGUUCGGAAGGGAUAACCGCUGAAAGCAUCUAAGCGGGAAGCCUGCUUCAAGAUGAGGUCUCCCACCCCUCGAGGGUUAAGGCCCCCAGCAAGACCACUGGGUUGAUAGGCCAGAAGUGUAAGCCUGGUAACAGGUUCAGCCGACUGGUACUAAUAGGCCGAGGACUUCU